RNAcentral lists this ribosomal RNA (2929 nucleotides) under Escherichia coli. RNAcentral describes it as "bacterial LSU rRNA". It matches the Rfam family "Bacterial large subunit ribosomal RNA". Lineage: Bacteria; Pseudomonadati; Pseudomonadota; Gammaproteobacteria; Enterobacterales; Enterobacteriaceae. The record is from RNAcentral.
GGGUUGUGAGGUUAAGCGACUAAGCGUACACGGUGGAUGCCCUGGCAGUCAGAGGCGAUGAAGGACGUGCUAAUCUGCGAUAAGCGUCGGUAAGGUGAUAUGAACCGUUAUAACCGGCGAUUUCCGAAUGGGGAAACCCAGUGUGUUUCGACACACUAUCAUUAACUGAAUCCAUAGGUUAAUGAGGCGAACCGGGGGAACUGAAACAUCUAAGUACCCCGAGGAAAAGAAAUCAACCGAGAUUCCCCCAGUAGCGGCGAGCGAACGGGGAGCAGCCCAGAGCCUGAAUCAGUGUGUGUGUUAGUGGAAGCGUCUGGAAAGGCGCGCGAUACAGGGUGACAGCCCCGUACACAAAAAUGCACAUGCUGUGAGCUCGAUGAGUAGGGCGGGACACGUGGUAUCCUGUCUGAAUAUGGGGGGACCAUCCUCCAAGGCUAAAUACUCCUGACUGACCGAUAGUGAACCAGUACCGUGAGGGAAAGGCGAAAAGAACCCCGGCGAGGGGAGUGAAAAAGAACCUGAAACCGUGUACGUACAAGCAGUGGGAGCACGCUUAGGCGUGUGACUGCGUACCUUUUGUAUAAUGGGUCAGCGACUUAUAUUCUGUAGCAAGGUUAACCGAAUAGGGGAGCCGAAGGGAAACCGAGUCUUAACUGGGCGUUAAGUUGCAGGGUAUAGACCCGAAACCCGGUGAUCUAGCCAUGGGCAGGUUGAAGGUUGGGUAACACUAACUGGAGGACCGAACCGACUAAUGUUGAAAAAUUAGCGGAUGACUUGUGGCUGGGGGUGAAAGGCCAAUCAAACCGGGAGAUAGCUGGUUCUCCCCGAAAGCUAUUUAGGUAGCGCCUCGUGAAUUCAUCUCCGGGGGUAGAGCACUGUUUCGGCAAGGGGGUCAUCCCGCUUACCAACCCGAUGCAAACUGCGAAUACCGGAGAAUGUUAUCACGGGAGACACACGGCGGGUGCUAACGUCCGUCGUGAAGAGGGAAACAACCCAGACCGCCAGCUAAGGUCCCAAAGUCAUGGUUAAGUGGGAAACGAUGUGGGAAGGCCCAGACAGCCAGGAUGUUGGCUUAGAAGCAGCCAUCAUUUAAAGAAAGCGUAAUAGCUCACUGGUCGAGUCGGCCUGCGCGGAAGAUGUAACGGGGCUAAACCAUGCACCGAAGCUGCGGCAGCGACGCUUAUGCGUUGUUGGGUAGGGGAGCGUUCUGUAAGCCUGUGAAGGUGUGCUGUGAGGCAUGCUGGAGGUAUCAGAAGUGCGAAUGCUGACAUAAGUAACGAUAAAGCGGGUGAAAAGCCCGCUCGCCGGAAGACCAAGGGUUCCUGUCCAACGUUAAUCGGGGCAGGGUGAGUCGACCCCUAAGGCGAGGCCGAAAGGCGUAGUCGAUGGGAAACAGGUUAAUAUUCCUGUACUUGGUGUUACUGCGAAGGGGGGACGGAGAAGGCUAUGUUGGCCGGGCGACGGUUGUCCCGGUUUAAGCGUGUAGGCUGGUUUUCCAGGCAAAUCCGGAAAAUCAAGGCUGAGGCGUGAUGACGAGGCACUACGGUGCUGAAGCAACAAAUGCCCUGCUUCCAGGAAAAGCCUCUAAGCAUCAGGUAACAUCAAAUCGUACCCCAAACCGACACAGGUGGUCAGGUAGAGAAUACCAAGGCGCUUGAGAGAACUCGGGUGAAGGAACUAGGCAAAAUGGUGCCGUAACUUCGGGAGAAGGCACGCUGAUAUGUAGGUGAAGUCCCUCGCGGAUGGAGCUGAAAUCAGUCGAAGAUACCAGCUGGCUGCAACUGUUUAUUAAAAACACAGCACUGUGCAAACACGAAAGUGGACGUAUACGGUGUGACGCCUGCCCGGUGCCGGAAGGUUAAUUGAUGGGGUCAGCGCAAGCGAAGCUCUUGAUCGAAGCCCCGGUAAACGGCGGCCGUAACUAUAACGGUCCUAAGGUAGCGAAAUUCCUUGUCGGGUAAGUUCCGACCUGCACGAAUGGCGUAAUGAUGGCCAGGCUGUCUCCACCCGAGACUCAGUGAAAUUGAACUCGCUGUGAAGAUGCAGUGUACCCGCGGCAAGACGGAAAGACCCCGUGAACCUUUACUAUAGCUUGACACUGAACAUUGAGCCUUGAUGUGUAGGAUAGGUGGGAGGCUUAGAAGUGUGGACGCCAGUCUGCAUGGAGCCGACCUUGAAAUACCACCCUUUAAUGUUUGAUGUUCUAACGUUGACCCGUAAUCCGGGUUGCGGACAGUGUCUGGUGGGUAGUUUGACUGGGGCGGUCUCCUCCUAAAGAGUAACGGAGGAGCACGAAGGUUGGCUAAUCCUGGUCGGACAUCAGGAGGUUAGUGCAAUGGCAUAAGCCAGCUUGACUGCGAGCGUGACGGCGCGAGCAGGUGCGAAAGCAGGUCAUAGUGAUCCGGUGGUUCUGAAUGGAAGGGCCAUCGCUCAACGGAUAAAAGGUACUCCGGGGAUAACAGGCUGAUACCGCCCAAGAGUUCAUAUCGACGGCGGUGUUUGGCACCUCGAUGUCGGCUCAUCACAUCCUGGGGCUGAAGUAGGUCCCAAGGGUAUGGCUGUUCGCCAUUUAAAGUGGUACGCGAGCUGGGUUUAGAACGUCGUGAGACAGUUCGGUCCCUAUCUGCCGUGGGCGCUGGAGAACUGAGGGGGGCUGCUCCUAGUACGAGAGGACCGGAGUGGACGCAUCACUGGUGUUCGGGUUGUCAUGCCAAUGGCACUGCCCGGUAGCUAAAUGCGGAAGAGAUAAGUGCUGAAAGCAUCUAAGCACGAAACUUGCCCCGAGAUGAGUUCUCCCUGACCCUUUAAGGGUCCUGAAGGAACGUUGAAGACGACGACGUUGAUAGGCCGGGUGUGUAAGCGCAGCGAUGCGUUGAGCUAACCGGUACUAAUGAACCGUGAGGCUUAACCUUACAACGCCGAAGCUGUU